UACGUAGGUGACCAGCGUUGUCCGGAUUUACUGGGCGUAAAGGGCGCGUAGGCGGCCUGUUAAGUCGAACGUGAAAUCCCCGGGCUCAACCCGGGAACUGCGUCCGAUACUGGCAGGCUUGAAUCCGGGAGAGGGAUGUGGAAUUCCAGGUGUAGCGGUGAAAUGCGUAGAUAUCAGGAGGAACACCGAUUGCGAAGGCAGCUUGCUGGGACGGUACUGACGCUGAGGCGCGAAAGCGUGGGGAGCAAACAGG
This 253-nucleotide ribosomal RNA is filed under the name uncultured bacterium. Its description in RNAcentral is "partial 16S ribosomal RNA". It matches the Rfam family "Bacterial small subunit ribosomal RNA", at positions 524 to 776 of the family's 1533-position model. The record is from RNAcentral.